Non-coding RNA from Triticum aestivum (bread wheat), 115 nucleotides. The record is from Rfam. NCBI's taxonomy places the organism in Eukaryota, Viridiplantae, Streptophyta, Magnoliopsida, Poales, Poaceae.
UACAUACUCCCUCCGUUCGGAAUUACUCGUCCAAGAAAUGAAUGUAUCUAGAUGUAUUUUAGUUGUAGAUACAUCCAUUUUUGUGACAAGUAAUUUCGAACGGAGGGAGUACUAC